Molecule: ribosomal RNA, 274 nt
Filed under: uncultured bacterium
Lineage: Bacteria
Description: partial 16S ribosomal RNA
Rfam family: Bacterial small subunit ribosomal RNA
Source: RNAcentral
AUACGGAGGGGGCUAGCGUUGUUCGGAAUUACUGGGCGUAAAGGGCGCGUAGGCGGACAAUUAAGUCAGAGGUGAAAGGCCUGGGCUCAACCCGGGAACUGCCUUUGAAACUGAAGGUCUCGAGACCGAGAGAGGAUAGCGGAAUUCCCAGUGUAGAGGUGAAAUUCGUAGAUAUUGGGAAGAACACCAGUGGCGAAGGCGGCUAUCUGGCUCGGUACUGACGCUGAGGCGCGAAAGCGUGGGGAGCAAACAGGAUUAGAAACCCCAGUAGUCC